Non-coding RNA from Chelonoidis abingdonii (Abingdon island giant tortoise), 428 nucleotides. Lineage: Eukaryota; Metazoa; Chordata; Testudines; Testudinidae. The record is from RefSeq and is a predicted model, not a curated record.
AAAACCUUAAGGCUGCUGUUAUGUGGGAACUAUCAUCUUGAUUUUCCAACACUUGCUUGUUUCUGGAGGAGCAUGAGGAGAAUGGAGGAGCACUGAGUACCAUAGCCAUAACUCUACAUAAUGAAGCUGUGGGUGUGAAUAUUAAAACAGAGGUUUGUGAUGGGUACCUAAUAGUAGGAAACUACCAAGUCCAUAUUUAAGCACCUCAGUAAGUGGCCUUAUUUCACUUUUUAAAGUGCUGAGGAUCCAGCAGAUUGAGGCUGCUUAUUUUGGUGCCUAAGGCCUUGUCUACACUGCAGAGUUUUGUCGACACAAGUUAUGCCAACAUACAGCCACCACUAAUUAAAUCACUGUUUCAUUUCUACGCUGUUCCUUGUGUCAGCAGAGCACAUCCACACUAGCAGCUCUUGCAUCAACACAGAAGUACA